This is a long non-coding RNA of Oreochromis aureus, 928 nucleotides long. Lineage: Eukaryota; Metazoa; Chordata; Actinopteri; Cichliformes; Cichlidae. The record is from Ensembl.
CGUCACUCUGCUCUGUAAAACAAAGACCACUCCCUCCAACCUCCCAGCUGCUUUCUAUAAAGAUGGCUCCCUCAUCAGGAAGCAGCCUACAGGUCACAUGACCAUCCAGCAUGUUUCCAGGUCUGAUGAAGGCCUCUACAAGUGUGACAUCAGCGGUCAUGGAGAUUCUCCAUCCAGCUGGAUCACUGUCACAGGGGAACACACCACCACACCUCCACCUACAUCCACUCCGCCACCUACAUCUACACCACCUACAUCCACCUCUCCUCCCGCUUUCACCUCCAUCACUCUUCUUCUUCUUCUCUCUGUGUUGUCAUGUGUUGGGUCAGUCUGUGUUGUGGUUCUACUGGUGUUACUGGUUCUGCUGGUGAGACAAUGUGUUAACAGGAAACCUGAAGGUGAGACUGACUCAGACUUUUUGAUUUUAGAUUUGAAGUUCAUGUUAAUCUACAUGUUAAAGUGUUUAAAUUCAUCAUCAUUUGAUGGUUUUGCAUUGAUGUUUGAUCCCCAUGGAAGUAACUCAACAUGGUACAAAUCUACAAAUAUUUCUUUGUAUAUCGUGUUUUUAAAAUUAAAAUCCCAACUACAACUUUAGACAAUUUAAGUAAAAUAUGUUGGUGUUGAAUUUGGAUCAUUUCACCAGAUCAAGAUGAACCUGUAGAUGAUGACAUCACAUAUGGUGACAUCCAAAUAUCAAUCAAACGAACCAGAGACUUUAAACCACAGCCAGAGACCAUCUACUCUUCACUGAAGUAGUCCACCAGUCCAACCACUGACGUCCAGCUGCUGGUCUCUAACUGGUCCCCCCAGCACCUGAGACAAGAGGACAUCCACAAGUUAACUUUUCACUGAUUUAGAUUAAAAUGAUUCAAAACUUCAAAAACGAUAUGAGGAUAUUUUUAACUGAAAAUUUAAAUGUGUAUUUUGC